This 273-nucleotide ribosomal RNA is filed under the name uncultured bacterium. Its description in RNAcentral is "partial 16S ribosomal RNA". It matches the Rfam family "Bacterial small subunit ribosomal RNA", at positions 523 to 796 of the family's 1533-position model. The record is from RNAcentral.
AUACGGAGGGUGCGAGCGUUAAUCGGAAUUACUGGGCGUAAAGCGUACGUAGGCGGUUUGCUAAGUCAGAUGUGAAAGCCCGGGCUUAACCUGGGAACUGCAUUUGAUACUGGCAGACUAGAGUAUGAUAGAGGGGGGUAGAAUUCCUGGUGUAGCGGUGAAAUGCGUAGAUAUCAGGAGGAAUACCAGUGGCGAAGGCGGCCCCCUGGAUCAAUACUGACGCUGAGGUACGAAAGCGUGGGGAGCGAACAGGAUUAGAAACCCUAGUAGUCC